GAGGAGACAAUCAUGAAGGAGGAAGAGCCUCGAGGAAGAAGGAGCAAGAGAAUUAUGUGGAAGUAGGAUCCUGGGGAGAGAGAAUCACUGCUGUGAGGGCUGCUGCAAUAGACAUGGAUGACAUCUGUGGGAGUCAGGAUUCCAUUCUGCUGGAUUACCAGAAGCCUUGAGCAUUGAUGGACUUCCACCGGUCUCUUAAGCUGGGAAUCCAUUUGGUGCAAGGAACUUCUGGGUGAUGAGGCAGCUCUAAUGCCCAGCCUGCCCUGGCCCCUCAGUCACAUGUGGGAGAUGUGGGGUGAUCCUACAGAAACCCUGGGGAUUCCACAUUCCAACAACCCAUUCCCACCACCAAAACCACUCCAAGGUGUUCCUCAAGACACAACAAGAUGCAAAUUCGGAGCAGGAAGCACCAGCACAGCCCUCACUGCCCACCUGCCACAUCAGGGGGACAUCUUUCCCUGGCCACUGCCAGGAAGGAUGGACUCCAAUAAACUGUGGGAGGAAGCUGAAAAUAACAAUGCAGAAAGCUGCAAACAUCUGCAAGGCCAAUGCUUUGCUCCACAAUUCUGCAUUGAUUUCUUGCCUCAAAUAGAUUUCUAGAUGGAGUGCAAUUAAAAUGAGUUACACAAUGCUGGUGAAACAUCACUCAUUUCCGCUUCAGAUUUUAUUUUUGCAUCUUUGCUUUCUAGAUCCUUUUGCGUUUCAAUGCCACGCCUUGGAUCUUAAUUUUUUUUUUUUCUUUCCACUCUUCUUCUGGCCAAAUUGCUCUGCAUCCAUUUUUACC
Hirundo rustica (Barn swallow) is the source of this 784-nucleotide long non-coding RNA. RefSeq lists it as uncharacterized. Lineage: Eukaryota; Metazoa; Chordata; Aves; Passeriformes; Hirundinidae. The transcript is spliced from 2 exons. The record is from RefSeq and is a predicted model, not a curated record.